RNAcentral lists this ribosomal RNA (446 nucleotides) under uncultured bacterium. RNAcentral describes it as "bacterial SSU rRNA". It matches the Rfam family "Bacterial small subunit ribosomal RNA", at positions 330 to 793 of the family's 1533-position model. The record is from RNAcentral.
GCCAGACUCCUACGGGAGGCAGCAGUGGGGAAUAUUGCACAAUGGGGGGAACCCUGAUGCAGCGACGCCGCGUGAGUGAAGAAGUAUUUCGGUAUGUAAAGCUCUAUCAGCAGGGAAGAAAAUGACGGUACCUGACUAAGAAGCCCCAGCUAACUACGUGCCAGCAGCCGCGGUAAUACGUAGGGGGCAAGCGUUAUCCGGAUUUACUGGGUGUAAAGGGAGCGUAGACGGCGAUGCAAGUCAGAAGUGAAAGCCCGCGGCUCAACUGCGGGACUGCUUUUGAAACUGUAUAGCUUGGGUGCAGGAGAGGUAAGCGGAAUUCCUAGUGUAGCGGUGAAAUGCGUAGAUAUUAGGAGGAACGCCAGUGGCGAAGGCGGCUUACUGGACAGUAACUGACGUUGAGGCUCGAAAGCGUGGGGAGCAAACAGGAUUAGAUACCCCCGUAA